This 246-nucleotide long non-coding RNA is filed under the name Lathyrus oleraceus (garden pea). RNAcentral describes it as "Pisum sativum (pea) long non-coding RNA (PSAT_LNC027356)". Lineage: Eukaryota; Viridiplantae; Streptophyta; Magnoliopsida; Fabales; Fabaceae. The record is from RNAcentral.
AAUAUUUUUAAUUUCAUGCAAACUUCUUAAUGAAAUAUCACAACUAUAAUUAUUCAACCCCACACAACUCGAAUAGGGUGAUAAUAUUGUUUUUCACUUAGGCUUGUAAUGAGAUAAAUAAACAAAGAAUGGGAUGAAUAGGCUCAAAUAAGUUUUCAAAUAAGGGAUGAUAUUUUUUAGGAUUGACUUUUUGGAUAACUGGCUACACAAAAUAAAACACAAACAACUUUCCUUUAUCAUAUCAGU